UACGUAGGCGGCAAGCGUUACUGGGAAUUACUGGGCGUAAAGCGUACGCAGGCGGCUUUGCAAGACAGGUGUGAAAUCCCCGGGCCUAACCUGGGAACUGCAUUUGUGACUGCAUGGCUAGAGUCUGUCAGAGGGGGGUGGAAUUCCGCGUGUAGCAGUGAAAUGCGUAGAGAUGUGGAAGAACACCGAUGGCGAAGGCAGCCCCCUGGGAUGAGACUGACGCUCAUGUACGAAAGCGUGGGGAGCAAACAGG
This 253-nucleotide ribosomal RNA is filed under the name uncultured bacterium. RNAcentral's name for it is "partial 16S ribosomal RNA". It matches the Rfam family "Bacterial small subunit ribosomal RNA", at positions 524 to 776 of the family's 1533-position model. The record is from RNAcentral.